GGUCGAUUAGUGUAGCUGGUUAUCACAUCGGAUUCUGAGUAAUGCAUUCACUCGUGCAUUCCGGUAACCGGGGUUCGAAUCCCCGAUUGACCU
RNAcentral lists this transfer RNA (93 nucleotides) under Truncatella angustata. It matches the Rfam family "tRNA". Rfam says of the family: Transfer RNA (tRNA) molecules are approximately 80 nucleotides in length. Their secondary structure includes four short double-helical elements and three loops (D, anti-codon, and T loops). The record is from Rfam by way of RNAcentral. Lineage: Eukaryota; Fungi; Ascomycota; Sordariomycetes; Amphisphaeriales; Sporocadaceae.